Molecule: long non-coding RNA, 351 nt
Organism: Hippocampus comes (tiger tail seahorse)
Lineage: Eukaryota; Metazoa; Chordata; Actinopteri; Syngnathiformes; Syngnathidae
Exons: 3
Source: RefSeq, a predicted model, not a curated record
UCCUGGAAUGGUGGGGGGGGGGGUGAGGAUGCGACGAUGUGAUUUUAAGAAGCGGAGAAAAUCAAUGGACGAGGCCGUGGAGACGUCACGACACGCGCCGCUCGCGGAGGCUCUCAUCAUCUGGGACGCCAGCGGAGGGACCACCGGAUCCUCAACGACAAAAUGCAUCAUAGCAGAAGUUGGAUUGAUGCCUCAACCUCAUAUAGGGUGUUUUGGACACUUUUUCUGGACUUUGAAAGCGAUUAAAAGUGGGGAAAAACACCAAGACAUGGACCAACCGACCUCGUUCUGAUGGACAGGAGACUGGAUGCAUGCUGUGAAAUGCUUUUAUGAUUAUGUUACAUAUCAUUA